RNAcentral lists this ribosomal RNA (238 nucleotides) under uncultured bacterium. RNAcentral's name for it is "partial 16S ribosomal RNA". It matches the Rfam family "Bacterial small subunit ribosomal RNA", at positions 15 to 235 of the family's 1533-position model. The record is from RNAcentral.
GAUCCUGGCUCAGGAUGAACGCUGGCGGCGUGCUUAACACAUGCAAGUCGAACGAAGCACUUAUCUUUGAUUCUUCGGAUGAAGAGGUUUGUGACUGAGUGGCGGACGGGUGAGUAACGCGUGGGUAACCUGCCUCAUACAGGGGGAUAACAGUUAGAAAUGACUGCUAAUACCGCAUAAGACCACAGAGCCGCAUGGCUCAGUGGGAAAAACUCCGGUGGUAUAAGAUGGACCCGCG